Xiphophorus couchianus (Monterrey platyfish) is the source of this 1077-nucleotide long non-coding RNA. RefSeq lists it as uncharacterized. The transcript is spliced from 3 exons. Lineage: Eukaryota; Metazoa; Chordata; Actinopteri; Cyprinodontiformes; Poeciliidae. The record is from RefSeq and is a predicted model, not a curated record.
GAGGCGCCUCCCACCUUGAUGCGGACCUCACCGGCCUCAGGAGGAGCCACCUCGAUCUCCUCCAUGGCGGCCGGCGUGUUGGGCGCCCAGGACACCGCCGCCCUGCACCGGAUGACCUGGCGGCCACAGAAACAUCCGGCAACAGGAUGGAAACGUUCAGACGCUCGAUGACGUCACUGAGGAGCGACGCUCAGCACGGCCCGGACGCUGCGGAGACACAAACACCCAGUCAGGACCGUUUCAAUCAUGAAGGGAACAUCUGAGCUUCGGGUCGCACCACCGGCCGUUCUUCAUCAGCUCCACGGCUUCGUUGACCUGGUCCAGCCUCAGGUUGUGGGUGAUGAACUCGUCCACCAUCAGCUUCCUGUCCAGGCUGCAUCGAUCAGACAGACUCUGUCCAGCGGCGCGGCCACAGAAAUCUCCUUCACCACGGUGAACUCAGAGCUGAUGCCCCCAGCAGCUGAUCCUGGAUUCAUUCAGAACCAUCCAUGAAUUCAUUUCUGCAGCCUAAUGAACACAUGAUGAUGCAAUGAAGGGAUGAGCUCCGUACUCGCCGACACACAUGUUGGUUGCAGACGCGGCAUUCCCGACACUGAGGCAUGAACAGCGGAUCCCCGUGGUAAAGAUUUAAUCUGUGCUCCACACCGUCAGGUUGAUCCUGAGGAACCAGGCGGUCCGGCUGGUUCUACUGACCCGGCUGGAACUCUGUGACCCCGCCCGCCCGUCCGUCCAUCUGCUCAUUUGUUGUCCAGUAUUUCUUAUUUUAAAGCCAGAUUCCCUUCUGCUGAGUAUCUCUGACGUUUCCUGAUGUUCCUCUGCUAAAACGCUGUUAUUGCUUCAUUGUUGACCUCAGCUGACGGAACAACGAGUUUCCUGUUGUGUUUCAGGUUCUCUGCUGCUUUAGCCAACGUCUGUCUGGUUGUUUCUUGUCAAUCAGUUGCAACAACUUGUUAACAUCAACACGCUACACAAAGACUUAUUAGCAGAAUUAGAGUCAUGUAGGUUAAUAAUGACCUUUUCUAACAGACACAACUCAUAAAGAGGCUGAAAUAUAAUAAACACUAUGAGCUACCUGGA